CCCUACGGGUGGCUGCAGUGAGGAAUAUUGGUCAAUGGUCGGGAGACUGAACCAGCCAAGCCGCGUGAGGGAGGAAGGUACAGAGUAUCGUCAACCUCUUUUGUCAGGGAACAAAGGCGGGGACGUGUCCCCGGAUGCGUGUACCUGAAGAAAACGCAUCGGCUAACUCCGUGCCAGCAGCCGCGGUAAUAGGGAGGAUGCGAGCGUUAUCCGGUUUGAUUGGGUUAAACGGGUGCGCAGGCGGUCUGUUAAGUCAGAGGUAAAAGCCCGGGGCCCAACCCCGGCCCGCCGUUGAAACUGGCAGUCUCGAGUUGGAGAGAAGUAUGCGGAAGGCGCGGUGUGGCGGUGACAUGCAUAGAUAUCGCGCAGAACUCCGAUUGCGAAGGCAGCAUGCCGGCUCCACACUGACGCUGAGGCACGAAAGCGUGGGUAUCGAACAGGAUUAGAUACCCUAGUAGUC
Molecule: ribosomal RNA, 460 nt
Filed under: uncultured bacterium
Lineage: Bacteria
Description: partial 16S ribosomal RNA
Rfam family: Bacterial small subunit ribosomal RNA
Source: RNAcentral